Molecule: ribosomal RNA, 441 nt
Filed under: uncultured bacterium
Lineage: Bacteria
Description: partial 16S ribosomal RNA
Rfam family: Bacterial small subunit ribosomal RNA
Source: RNAcentral
CCUACGGGAGACAGCAGUGGGGAAUAUUGCACAAUGGGGGAGACCCUGAUGCAGCGACGCCGCGUGAGUGAGGAAGUAUUUCGGUAUGGAAAGCUCUAUCAGCCAGGGAGCAGCAAGACGGUACCUGACUCAGAAGCCCCUGCUAACUACGUUCCAGCAGCCGCGGUAAUACGUAGGGGGCAAGCGUUAUCCGGAUUUACUGGGGUUAAAGGGAGCGUAGACGGUAUGGUAAGUCUGAGGUGAAAGCCCAGGGCUUAACCCUGGGACUGCUGUGGAAACUGUUAGACUAGAGUGCUGGAGAGGUAAGUGGAAUGCCCAGUGUAGCGGUGAAAUGCGUAGAUAUUAGGAGGAACACCAGUGGCGAAGGCGGCUUACUGGACAGCAACUGACGUUGAGGCUCGAAAGCGUGGGUAGCAAACAGGAUUAGAUACCCGAGUAGUC